Acanthopagrus latus (yellowfin seabream) is the source of this 653-nucleotide long non-coding RNA. RefSeq lists it as uncharacterized. The record is from RefSeq and is a predicted model, not a curated record. NCBI's taxonomy places the organism in Eukaryota, Metazoa, Chordata, Actinopteri, Spariformes, Sparidae. The transcript is spliced from 3 exons.
CCGGGGGCAUUUGGAGAAGUACGAACCGGAGCAGCGAGUCCUCUUUUCUCUCUGCGACCGAGCGGCACCGCAGCAGCCCCGAGCGGCAAGCUAGCGACCACACACCGCGCAGCUUCCGGUCGGAGUUUCAAAAGGAGGUGGCCUACGACGUCAUUUAUCACCCUCCUACAAUACAGAACUGAGUUCUCCCCCCAGACAGCUUAACACCCAUCCACACCUGGGCUCACCUGAUCCUGACGACCCACAUGAAGCCCAGUCGGACAAACGACCCACAGGUGACAGCAACGACUCUGAAACUCAGAGCUCACAGUGUCCUUAAUGACUCUGUAAGGACACUCGCACACAGAGUUUAAAAGCCUACAGCUCCCCUCCAGGGAAGAGAUGAUCGCCUCAUAUCCGGUUCUUUCCUUAAACCGAUGUGACUUGACGGAUCCCUCUGCAGCAGCCAAGACACGCAGUCUCUGCAGAGGAGGAGGAUGAAGACCCGCAGACCGGAGGGCAUCUCUGCUUCAGCACCAAUCUGUCCUCGGUCCUGAAUUAAAGAUUGAUUUGUGCAUCUCAUCAUCAAUAUUACCACGGCUGCCAUCAUACCACAGGAAAACUGCUGCAAUACUGUUCAUAUACACGUUAAAAUAAUGAUGAUGUCAUAUCUU